GUGGGUGUAGCUCAGUGGUUAGAGUGCUUGACUGUGGCUCAAGUGGUCGAGGGUUCGAAUCCCUUCACCCACCCCA
RNAcentral lists this transfer RNA (76 nucleotides) under Candidatus Omnitrophota bacterium. Its description in RNAcentral is "Candidatus Omnitrophica bacterium (sediment metagenome) tRNA-His". It matches the Rfam family "tRNA". Rfam says of the family: Transfer RNA (tRNA) molecules are approximately 80 nucleotides in length. Their secondary structure includes four short double-helical elements and three loops (D, anti-codon, and T loops). Further hydrogen bonds mediate the characteristic L-shaped molecular structure. tRNAs have two regions of fundamental functional importance: the anti-codon, which is responsible for specific mRNA codon recognition, and the 3' end, to which the tRNAs corresponding amino acid is attached (by aminoacyl-tRNA synthetases). tRNAs cope with the degeneracy of the genetic code in two manners: having more than one tRNA (with a specific anti-codon) for a particular amino acid; and 'wobble' base-pairing, i.e. permitting non-standard base-pairing at the 3rd anti-codon position. Lineage: Bacteria; Pseudomonadati; Candidatus Omnitrophota. The record is from RNAcentral.